RNAcentral lists this long non-coding RNA (2504 nucleotides) under Sus scrofa (pig). RNAcentral's name for it is "lncRNA (ENSSSCG00030031082.1)". The record is from RNAcentral. Lineage: Eukaryota; Metazoa; Chordata; Mammalia; Artiodactyla; Suidae.
AUUCAUAGUCCAAUCACAAAUACCUACCCCAACUCUUCACUCCUGUAUUGGUAACCUCUGCUGCCUCUUCUCUCUUUUCUGUGUCUCUGAUUUUGCUUGUCCUGCUCUCUUUCCAGAACCAACUUGAAGAUGUCUUCAUUUUCUCUGUUUUAUCUCAGCUCUAGAUGUCACUAGAUCUAAACAUGUUUUGCACCCAAGAGGGUUUUUUCAUAGGUAGAGCCACAAUGGUCUUUCUGUCACAGUGUAGGAGAAAAUGUCCUGAUAAAAAUGUAGAAAGGAGACCCCGGCCAUGAUGACUAAGCAAAGUCCAGCCAACUGCCCCAACCACCCCUCCCCCACACACCUGCAUCUGGAAACUUGACAGUUCUCACUCUGGUCCACCACGCACGGACACAGAAGAACUAGCCCAUAAAAGACUUGUGAAACCCCUCUUCCGGGUUCAGACUCCAGAGAACCAAAUCCUCUGAGCCCACCGGUGUAAUAAACCUGAGUUCUCCAGCUCUCCGAGUGCUCCCUUGGUUUCUCUCCGGGUGAAAGAGCUGAUACGCUGCAGCCUCAGGGCUGCUGGAGUUGGUGCACUACAGCCACAGGGCUGUUGCCAGAGCUGAUACACUGCGGUGCAGGGCUGCCGGGCAGCUGCCAUAAUAUUUCUGGAGGCCCCAGUGAGAUUCCAACCAUUCUGGCCCCUUGAGCCACCAGAACGGAGGCAAGCCUGCCUGGGAGCAGGGGAGCCUCGAAGUGAACAAAGCAGCGCACCACCCCACAGUAUUCUGGGUCCUCCUUCGUGAGCAGCAUUCCUGACUCCUGGGUGACCAACCCGACCAGACUCAGUGGAGAGACGGACCCACUCACCAGGAAUGCAUCCGGACAAGGUAGGGCCCCGGGGCCAACCCCAGUCAGGUCCUGCCCCAGCGGGCAGAAGAGGGGACUGAUCACCCCCUGAGGGAGACUCUCCCGGUCUGAAGCUGUGUCUGACUGGAGCAGCAGUCCUCGUACUCCAGGCUGGAAGCAGAGGAACCUCUUGCUUGGGUGGAGCAACCGUCGGGCGUAGCCAAUUGAAAAUUGUGCUUGAUCGAGCUACUAGUUAGGGAGUGGAAGGCAUUGUGAUAACCUCUGAGUGUGUGUGAGAGUGAAUGAGCAGUCUGAUUCGCUUGCGCUUCAGGUUCAAGUUUGUGGCUCCAUGGUCUUAGUGGCUACAGAGUCUGAGUGGGUCCUAUCCUGCAGUUCCAUGGUGACCUCAUAUGGCUUAUGGCUGUAGUGGACUCUGAGGGUUCUCUUCCCUCCCUGCGAGUCCAGUCCAAGUUUGGGGCUUAUACAAACAAGCCAAUUGCUAAGAGGCACCUAAACUCCAGAGAGGGAGGCGGCGGACAUCCGAAUGGCCACCUUCUGAGAAGGGGGCACCCUCCCUUGUUUUGUCUGUGACACCGGCACGGGGCAGCUACAUGGGGUGGAGGGACCUAGCCCAGAAGCCCAUGAGCCAGAGACCCCUGUGCUCCCACCAUUUGGGCCAUAAAUUCCUCCAAGGAGAUAAUCUAACUUGACUUUGCCCCAGGGCUUCCAGGAACUCCCAGCCCAGAUUCUAAACCAGCUGUGGGACUGCUCAUUUUGUCAGUUCACUGGGGCCCAGGGUCUGAGUUAGGGAGACAAGUCUGUCAUCCCCGUCUCACUCCAGGGUAUAGGGAGGAUUGGGUACAAGGUCCCCUGUCCUUUGCCCAAACAUUAGAACUUGUCUCAGCGUGCCUUCCCGAGACCUGGGGCCUAGAUGGAUCAGAGACACUUGCAACAAAGUAGGUGCUCUCCCCGGCCAUAGAGUGAGCUGAGUGGGAGCUGUCUUGAUUUCAGGAGUGGCGGAGGCAACGCUAUUGGGGAUACCACCCGCAAGGUCAGAGAAGGUGUCAUGAUAUCAGGCCAUAGACGAGAUCCACAGAAAGACACCAGGGGUUAGCCCAAGUCUAAACCCACAGUCCUAGACGGUGUGAUCAAAGAUUUCAAAAAGGGAUUUUCUGAAGAUUAUGGUGUAAAACUAACCUGAUCUUUCAUCAUUUCCUUUGUUAUUACCUCAAAUGGACUUGUGGGGGCAAAGGAACCAGACCUCUAGAUGUUAAGACCACCCUGAGUUGUUACCAUGCCUGUGGGGAAAAAGGAGUUCUUAACUAGUAGUCAUCCAAUUUAGGCCAAGUGUUUAGCCUCAGAGCCUCGGCAUAGUCAGUUUUGCUUUUUCUAUUUACUUUCACCCUGGUUGGAGAAAUCGAUGGUUGGUUCAUCCAAUUUGCCUGUUAACUGUGGCUUAGAAACUUACCUAACAUUAACAGAGGACAUGUCAGAGUGAGCAUCUUAGGAUCUGAAAACUCAGGGCAGGGCCUGUAUGCCUGGGUUUUCUUUACCUCUGUCCAGAGACAGGCAAUGGGCAGGGACAAUAGGAAGAGAGGCUAUGCUGGUAAAGAGUGGUUAAUUCCAGUCAGCCUGAGGUUGGAUGGGACAUUUGACCACUAAUGUCUAGCUGA